This 223-nucleotide unclassified non-coding RNA is filed under the name uncultured Gammaproteobacteria bacterium. RNAcentral's name for it is "contains 16S-23S intergenic spacer region". Lineage: Bacteria; Pseudomonadati; Pseudomonadota; Gammaproteobacteria. The record is from RNAcentral.
UCCGGUUUGUCACCGGCAGUCCCAUUAGAGUGCUCAACUGAAUGUAGCAACUAAUGGCAAGGGUUGCGCUCGUUGCGGGACUUAACCCAACAUCUCACGACACGAGCUGACGACAGCCAUGCAGCACCUGUGUUCCGGCUCCCUUUCGGGCACUCCCGCAUCUCUGCAGGAUUCCGGACAUGUCAAGGCCAGGUAAGGUGGGGAUGACGUUCCAAGGUUGGUU